UACGUAGGUCCCGAGCGUUGUCCGGAUUUAUUGGGCGUAAAGCGAGCGCAGGUGGUUUAUUAAGUCUGGUGUAAAAGGCAGUGGCUCAACCAUUGUAUGCAUUGGAAACUGGUAGACUUGAGUGCAGGAGAGGAGAGUGGAAUUCCAUGUGUAGCGGUGAAAUGCGUAGAUAUAUGGAGGAACACCGGUGGCGAAAGCGGCUUGCUGGGCUCUAACUGACGCUGAGGCUCGAAAGUGUGGGGAGCAAACAGG
RNAcentral lists this ribosomal RNA (252 nucleotides) under uncultured bacterium. RNAcentral describes it as "partial 16S ribosomal RNA". It matches the Rfam family "Bacterial small subunit ribosomal RNA", at positions 524 to 776 of the family's 1533-position model. The record is from RNAcentral.